AUUAGUGGCGAACGGGUGAGUAACACGUGAGUAACCUGCCCUUGACUCUGGGAUAAGCCUGGGAAACUGGGUCUAAUACCGGAUAUGACUGUUCAUCGCAUGGUGGUUGGUGGAAAGCUUUUGUGGUUUUGGAUGGACUCGCGGCCUAUCAGCUUGUUGGUGGGGUAAUGGCCUACCAAGGCGACGACGGGUAGCCGGCCUGAGAGGGUGACCGGCCACACUGGGACUGAGACACGGCCCAGACUCCUACGGGAGGCAGCAGUGGGGAAUAUUGCACAAUGGGCGCAAGCCUGAUGCAGCGACGCCGCGUGAGGGAUGACGGCCUUCGGGUUGUAAACCUCUUUCAGUAGGGAAGAAGCGAAAGUGACGGUACCUGCAGAAGAAGCGCCGGCUAACUACGUGCCAGCAGCCGCGGUAAUACGUAGGGCGCAAGCGUUAUCCGGAAUUAUUGGGCGUAAAGAGCUCGUAGGCGGUUUGUCGCGUCUGCCGUGAAAGUCCGGGGCUCAACUCCGGAUCUGCGGUGGGUACGGGCAGACUAGAGUGAUGUAGGGGAGACUGGAAUUCCUGGUGUAGCGGUGAAAUGCGCAGAUAUCAGGAGGAACACCGAUGGCGAAGGCAGGUCUCUGGGCAUUAACUGACGCUGAGGAGCGAAAGCAUGGGGAGCGAACAGGAUUAGAUACCCUGGUAGUCCAUGCCGUAAACGUUGGGCACUAGGUGUGGGGGACAUUCCACGUUUUCCGCGCCGUAGCUAACGCAUUAAGUGCCCCGCCUGGGGAGUACGGCCGCAAGGCUAAAACUCAAAGGAAUUGACGGGGGCCCGCACAAGCGGCGGAGCAUGCGGAUUAAUUCGAUGCAACGCGAAGAACCUUACCAAGGCUUGACAUGAACCGGAAAGACCUGGAAACAGGUCCCCCACUUGUGGUCGGUUUACAGGUGGUGCAUGGUUGUCGUCAGCUCGUGUCGUGAGAUGUUGGGUUAAGUCCCGCAACGAGCGCAACCCUCGUUCUAUGUUGCCAGCACGUGAUGGUGGGGACUCAUAGGAGACUGCCGGGGUCAACUCGGAGGAAGGUGGGGACGACGUCAAAUCAUCAUGCCCCUUAUGUCUUGGGCUUCACGCAUGCUACAAUGGCCGGUACAAAGGGUUGCGAUACUGUGAGGUGGAGCUAAUCCCAAAAAGCCGGUCUCAGUUCGGAUUGGGGUCUGCAACUCGACCCCAUGAAGUCGGAGUCGCUAGUAAUCGCAGAUCAGCAACGCUGCGGUGAAUACGUUCCCGGGCCUUGUAC
Molecule: ribosomal RNA, 1283 nt
Filed under: Arthrobacter sp. YNc-8
Lineage: Bacteria; Bacillati; Actinomycetota; Actinomycetes; Micrococcales; Micrococcaceae
Description: bacterial SSU rRNA
Rfam family: Bacterial small subunit ribosomal RNA
Source: RNAcentral